This 182-nucleotide unclassified non-coding RNA is filed under the name soil metagenome. RNAcentral describes it as "partial internal transcribed spacer 1". The record is from RNAcentral.
UCCAUCUAAAACCAGGUGCGGUCGCGGCCUCCAGGUGAUAACCAGGGUGGUUUCGCGCCGCAUUCCUGCACCCUUUUUUUACGAGCACCUUUGUUCUCCUUCGGCGGGGCAACCUGCCGCUGGAACUUGAUAAAACCUUUUUUUGCAUCUAGCAUUACCUGUUCUGAUACAAAUAAUCGUUA